AAAUUCUCAACGGUGGAUAUCUUGGUUCCCAUAACGAUGAAGAACGCAGCGAAGUGCGAUAAGCAAUGCGAAUUGCAGAACCGUGAGUCAUCAGAUUUUUGAACGCAACUGGCGCCGAUUGGUUCUCCAGUCGGCAUGC
Molecule: ribosomal RNA, 139 nt
Filed under: Amphisiella pulchra
Lineage: Eukaryota; Ciliophora; Spirotrichea; Stichotrichida; Amphisiellidae
Also listed under: 1 other name
Description: 5.8S ribosomal RNA
Rfam family: 5.8S ribosomal RNA
About the family: 5.8S ribosomal RNA (5.8S rRNA) is a component of the large subunit of the eukaryotic ribosome. It is transcribed by RNA polymerase I as part of the 45S precursor that also contains 18S and 28S rRNA.
Source: RNAcentral